UACGUAGGGUGCGAGCGUUAAUCGGAAUUACUGGGCGUAAAGCGUGCGCAGGCGGUGAUGUAAGACAGGUGUGAAAUCCCCGGGCUUAACCUGGGAACUGCAUUUGUGACUGCAUCGCUGGAGUGCGGCAGUGGGGGAUGGAAUUCCGCGUGUAGCAGUGAAAUGCGUAGAUAUGCGGAGGAACACCGAUGGCGAAGGCAAUCCCCUGGGCCUGCACUGACGCUCAUGCACGAAAGCGUGGGGAGCAAACAGG
RNAcentral lists this ribosomal RNA (253 nucleotides) under uncultured bacterium. Its description in RNAcentral is "partial 16S ribosomal RNA". It matches the Rfam family "Bacterial small subunit ribosomal RNA", at positions 524 to 776 of the family's 1533-position model. The record is from RNAcentral.